GAUGAACGCUGGCGGCGUGCCUAAUACAUGCCAGUCGAGCGAACAGAUAAGGAGCUUGCUCCUUUGACGUUAGCGGCGGACGGGUGAGUAACACGUGGAUAACCUACCUAUAAGACUGGGAUAACUUCGGGAAACCGGAGCUAAUACCGGAUAACAUAUUGAACCGCAUGGUUCAAUAGUGAAAGGCGGCUUUGCUGUCACUUAUAGAUGGAUCCGCGCCGUAUUAGCUAGUUGGUAAGGUAACGGCUUACCAAGGCAACGAUACGUAGCCGACCUGAGAGGGUGAUCGGCCACACUGGAACUGAGACACGGUCCAGACUCCUACGGGAGGCAGCAGUAGGGAAUCUUCCGCAAUGGGCGAAAGCCUGACGGAGCAACGCCGCGUGAGUGAUGAAGGUCUUCGGAUCGUAAAACUCUGUUAUCAGGGAAGAACAAAUGUGUAAGUAACUGUGCACAUCUUGACGGUACCUGAUCAGAAAGCCACGACUAACUACGUG
Molecule: ribosomal RNA, 497 nt
Filed under: uncultured bacterium
Lineage: Bacteria
Description: partial 16S ribosomal RNA
Rfam family: Bacterial small subunit ribosomal RNA
Source: RNAcentral